UACGAGGGGGGCUAGCGUUGUUCGGAAUUACUGGGCGUAAAGCGCGCGCAGGCGGUUUUCCAAGUCAGUGGUGAAAGCCCGGAGCUCAACUCCGGAAAUGCCAUUGAAACUGUAAAACUUGAGGACGAGAGAGGUGAGUGGAAUUCCCAGUGUAGAGGUGAAAUUCGUAGAUAUUGGGAAGAACACCGGUGGCGAAGGCGGCUCACUGGCUCGUUUCUGACGCUCAGGCGCGAUAGCGUGGGGAUCAAACAGG
This 253-nucleotide ribosomal RNA is filed under the name uncultured bacterium. RNAcentral describes it as "partial 16S ribosomal RNA". It matches the Rfam family "Bacterial small subunit ribosomal RNA", at positions 524 to 776 of the family's 1533-position model. The record is from RNAcentral.